GAUGAACGCUGGCGGCGUGCUUAACACAUGCAAGUCGAACGGUGAAGGCGGAGCUUGCUCUGCUGGAUCAGUGGCGAACGGGUGAGUAACACGUGAGCAAUCUGCCCCUGACUCUGGGAUAAGCGCUGGAAACGGCGUCUAAUACUGGAUACGAGCUGCGAAGGCAUCUUCAGCAGCUGGAAAGAAUUUCGGUCAGGGAUGAGCUCGCGGCCUAUCAGCUUGUUGGUGAGGUAAUGGCUCACCAAGGCGUCGACGGGUAGUCGGCCUGAGAGGGUGACCGGCCACACUGGGACUGAGACACGGCCCAGACUCCUACGGGAGGCAGCAGUGGGGAAUAUUGCACAAUGGGCGAAAGCCUGAUGCAGCAACGCCGCGUGAGGGACGACGGCCUUCGGGUUGUAAACCUCUUUUAGCAGGGAAGAAGCGAAAGUGACGGUACCUGCAGAAAAAGCGCCGGCUAACUACGUG
This 468-nucleotide ribosomal RNA is filed under the name uncultured bacterium. RNAcentral describes it as "partial 16S ribosomal RNA". It matches the Rfam family "Bacterial small subunit ribosomal RNA", at positions 28 to 507 of the family's 1533-position model. The record is from RNAcentral.